GACGAACGCUGGCGGCGUGCUUAACACAUGCAAGUCGAACGGAAAGGCCCUGCUUUUGUGGGGUGCUCGAGUGGCGAACGGGUGAGUAACACGUGAGUAACCUGCCCUUGACUUUGGGAUAACUUCAGGAAACUGGGGCUAAUACCGGAUAGGAGCUCCUGCUGCAUGGUGGGGGUUGGAAAGUUUCGGCGGUUGGGGAUGGACUCGCGGCUUAUCAGCUUGUUGGUGGGGUAGUGGCUUACCAAGGCUUUGACGGGUAGCCGGCCUGAGAGGGUGACCGGCCACAUUGGGACUGAGAUACGGCCCAGACUCCUACGGGAGGCAGCAGUUGGGAAUAUUGCACAAUGGGCGGAAGCCUGAUGCAGCAACGCCGCGUGCGGGAUGACGGCCUUCGGGUUGUAAACCGCUUUCGCCUGUGACGAAGCGUGAGUGACGGUAAUGGGUAAAGAAGCUCCGGCUAACUACGUG
Molecule: ribosomal RNA, 468 nt
Filed under: uncultured bacterium
Lineage: Bacteria
Description: partial 16S ribosomal RNA
Rfam family: Bacterial small subunit ribosomal RNA
Source: RNAcentral